Molecule: ribosomal RNA, 484 nt
Filed under: uncultured bacterium
Lineage: Bacteria
Description: partial 16S ribosomal RNA
Rfam family: Bacterial small subunit ribosomal RNA
Source: RNAcentral
AUUGAACGCUGGCGGCAGGCCUAACACAUGCAAGUCGAGCGGAUGAAGGGAGCUUGCUCCUGGAUUCAGCGGCGGACGGGUGAGUAAUGCCUAGGAAUCUGCCUGGUAGUGGGGGAUAACGUCCGGAAACGGGCGCUAAUACCGCAUACGUCCUGAGGGAGAAAGUGGGGGAUCUUCGGACCUCACGCUAUCAGAUGAGCCUAGGUCGGAUUAGCUAGUUGGUGGGGUAAAGGCCUACCAAGGCGACGAUCCGUAACUGGUCUGAGAGGAUGAUCAGACACACUGGAACUGAGACACGGUCCAGACUCCUACGGGAGGCAGCAGUAGGGAAUAUUGGACAAUGGGCGAAAGCCUGAUCCAGCCAUGCCGCGUGUGUGAAGAAGGUCUUCGGAUUGUAAAGCACUUUAAGUUGGGAGGAAGGGCAGUAAGUUAAUACCUUGCUGUUUUGACGUUACCAACAGAAUAAGCACCGGCUAACUUCGUG